AAGUUAAGGACAAAUGAAAAAAAUUAAUAGCAGUAGAAGGGUAGAGAAAAUAUUUCUUUUGUCCCCAACUUAACAACAAAUAAGAAAACUGGGUGACGGUAAAAUGGUAUAUUUGAAAAAGCAAAAUGAUAACCUUACAGAGAUAACGGCUGUUCCAAAUAGUUCAUUAACAGAAUUUGACUUUGAAAGACAUUGGAACCUUAAAUGGUCUUUUUAAUAUUAGCUUUUUAUGAAAAUAAAUAAAAAGUCAGAAAAUUUUU
RNAcentral lists this long non-coding RNA (260 nucleotides) under Ananas comosus (pineapple). RNAcentral describes it as "long non-coding RNA (ACOM_LNC014290)". The record is from RNAcentral. Lineage: Eukaryota; Viridiplantae; Streptophyta; Magnoliopsida; Poales; Bromeliaceae.